GUGAGAGGUGAUACAGAUUAUACAGACAUACACUCCCUCAGGUACAGUGGGGCAAAAAAGUAUUUAGUCAGCCACCAAUUGUGCAAGUUCUCCCACUUAAAAAGAUCAGAGAGGCCUGUCAUUUUCAUCAUAGGUACACUUCAACUAUGGCAGACAAAAUGAGAAAAAACAAUCCAGAAAAUCACAUUGUAGGAUUUUUAAUGAAUGUAUUUGCAAAUUAUGGUGGAAAAUAAGUAUUUGGUCAAUAACAAAAGUUUAUCUCAAUACUUUGUUAUAUACCCUUUGUUGGCAAUGACAGAGGUCAAACGUUUUCUGUAAUUCUUCACAAGGUUUUCACACACUGUUGCUGGUAUUUUGGCCCAUUCCUCCAUGCAGAUCUCCUCUAGAGCAGUGAUGUUUUGGGGCUGUUGCUGGGCAACACAGAAUUUCAACUCCCUCCAAAGAUUUUCUAUGGGGUUGAGAUCUGGAGACUGGCUAGGCCACUCCAGGACCUUGAAAUGCUUCUUACGAAGCCACUCCUUCAUUGCCCGGGUGGUGUGUUUGGGAUCAUUGUCAUGCUGAAAGACCCAGCCACAUUUAAUCUUCAAUGCCCUUGCUGAUGGAAGGAGGUUUUCACUCAAAAUCUCACGAUACAUGGCCCCAUUUAUUCUUCCCUUUACACGGAUCAGUCGUCCUGGUCCCGUUGCAGAAAAACAGCCCCAAAGCAUGAUGUUUCCACCCCCAUGCUUCACAGUAGGUAUGGUGUUCUUUGGAUGCAACUCAGCAUUCUUUGUCCUCCAAACAUGACGAGUUGAGUUUUUAACAAAAAGUCCUAUUUUGGUUUGAUCUGACCAUAUGACAUUCUCCCAGUCUUCUUCUGGAUCAUCCAAAUGCUCUCUAGCAAACAUCAGACGGGCCUAGACAUGUACUGGCUUAAGCAGGGGGACACGUCUGGCACUGCAGGAUUUGAGUCCCUGGCGGCGUAGUGUGUUACUGAUGGUAGGCUUUGUUACUUUGGUCUCAGCUCUCUGCAGGUCAUUCACUAGGUCCCCCCGUGUGGUUCUGGGAUUUUUGCUCACCGUUCUUGUGAUCAUUUUGACCCCACGGGGUGAGAUCUUGCGUGGAGCCCCAGAUCGAGGGAGAUUAUCUGUGGUCUUAUAUGUCUUCCAUUUCCUAAUAAUUGCUCCCACAGUUGAUUUCUUCAAACCAAGCUGCUUACCUAUUGCAGAUUCAGUCUUCCCAGCCUGGUGCAGGUCUACAAUUUUGUUUCUGGUGUCCUUCGACAGCUCUUUGGUCUUGGCCAUAGUGGAGUUUGGAGUGUGACUGUUUAAGGUUGUGGACAGGUAUUUUAUACUGAUAACAAGUUCAAACAGGUGCCAUUAAUACAGGUAACGAGUUGAGGAAAGAGGAGCCACUUAAAAAAGAAGAUACACGUUUGUGAGAGCCAGAAAUCUUGCUUGUUUGUAGGUGACCAAAUACUUAUUUUCCACCAUAAUUUGCAAAUUAAUUCAUUAAAAAUCCUACAAUGUGAUUUUCUGGAAUUUUUUUCUCAUUUUGUCUGUCAUAGUUGAAGUGUACCUAUGAUGAAAAUUACAGGCCUCUCUCAUAUUUUUAAGUGGGAGAACUUGCACACUUGGUGGCUGACUAAAUACUUUUUUGCCCCACUGUAUUCUCAGCCUUGUCUCAGAAUAGUAAGUUGGUGGUUUGAAGAUAUCCCUCUAGUGGUGUGGGGGGCUGUGCUUUGGCAAAGUGAGUGGGGUUAUAUCCUGGCCACAGUGUCUCCCGACCCCUCCUGUCUCAGCCUCUAGUAUUUAUGCUGCAGUAGUUUGUGUCAGGGGGCUAGAAUCAGUCUGUUAUAUCUGGAGUCCUGUGUAAAUUUAAGUAUGCUCCCUCUAACUCUCUCUCUCUCUCUUCUCUCAGAGGACCUGAGCACUAGGACCAUGCUUCGGGACUACCUGGCCUGAUGACUCCUUGCAGUCCCCAGUCCACCUGGUCGUGCUGCUGCUCCAGUUUCAACUAUUGUGCCUGCGGCUAUGGAACCCUGACCUGUUCACCGGAUAUGCUAUCUUGUCCCGAACCUGCUGUUUUCGACUCUCUCUCUCUCUACCGCACCUGUUGUCUCUAACUCCGAGUGAUCGGCUAUGAAAAGCCAAUUGACAUUUACUCCUGAGGUGCUGACCUGUUGCACCCUCUGCAACCACAGUGAUUAUUAUUAUUUUACACUGCUGGUCAUCUAUGAAGGUUUGAACAUCUUGGCCAUGUACUGUUAUAAUCUCCAGCCGGCACAGCCAGAGGAGUACUGGCCACCCCUCACAGCCUGGUUCCUCUCUAGGUUUCUUCCUAGGUUCCUGCCUUUCUAGGGAGUUUUUCCUAGCCCCCGUGCUUCUACAUUUGCAUUGCUUGCUGUUUGGAGUUUUAGGCUGUGUUUCUGUAUAGCACUUUGUGACAUCGACUGAUGUAAAAUGGCUUUAUAAAUACAUUUGAUUAUUUGAUUGAUUGAUUGAUCAGGAAAAUGCCAUAGAUUACUCUGGCCCAUGAAAGCGGUGUCCUGGUUUGCUCUCCAGAGCACAGCGCCACUGAAAGGAGUGAUAACUGGGGUGAGGUUGAGUGUUAAGGUGGGUCAACUGAAGUCGGGGAUCCCGGUUGUCUGUGUUGCACGCCGUUUGGUGGUGAAUGAUUCAGUGUGUUUGCCAGAUAAAGUCAUAAAGUCAUAGAACUUAUCUCGUGAGAGCUUUUGUUACGAACCCAGUACCGUGUUUCAGGUGUCAAGUUUAUGCUCAAGUGUACAGGAGGGGAUGGGACAAAAGAGUGAGUAGUUUCGGUGGAAAAAGUGGAGCGUGUCAAUUGUGGGGAUGGCUAUGUUGCUGGGGAUCAGAAAUGUCCUGUGCGAGUGAGACAGGGUGAGGUUGCCAGGGUGAGAGCAGUGCAUAAAGUGUCAUAUGCUGAGGCAGUGAGGAAAGUAGAAGAUGGUGGGUUAAGGGUGAGGGAGCCUGAGAGGAUCCCUGUGAGUAGUAGGCCAGGACAGAGUGACCCCAACAAUUUGUGCUUUAGUAAGUCUUCUUGGUGUUUAUUGCUAUGGUCAUUAAUUGUACCGCACAGAUGGAAAGGAAAUCCCAGAAGAUUGAAUUUGUAGUAACAGCAGCAGAGAUGUUUGGACACAUCUACUCAUUCAAGGGUUUUCUUUAUUUUUCUACAUUGUAGAUUAAUAGUGAAGACAUCAAAAUUAUGAAAUAAGACACAUGGAAUCAUGUAGUAACAAAACAAGUGUUAAACAAAUCAAAAUAUAUUUUAUAUUUGCGAUUCUUCAAAGUAGCCACCCUUUGCCUUGAUGACAGCUAUGCACACUCUUGGCAUUCCCUCAACCAGCUCCAUGAGGAAUGCUUGAAGGAGUUCCCAUAUAUGCUGAGCACUGCUUUUCCUUCACUCUGUGGUCCAACUCAUCCUAAACCAUCUCAAUUGGUUUGAGAUUGGGUGAUUGUGAUUGUGAUUGGGGAGGCCAGGUGAUCUGAUGCAGCACUCCAUCACUCUCCUUCUUGAUCAAAUAUCCCUUACACAGCCUGGAGGUGUGUUGGGUCAUUGUCCUGUUGAAAAACAAAUGAUAGUCCUAAGCGCAAACCAGAUGGGACGGCGUAUCGCUGCAGAAUGCUGUGGUAGACGUGCUGGUUAAGUUUGCCUUGAAUUCUAAAUAAAUCACAGACAGUGUCAACAGCAAAGCACCCCCAAACCAUCACACCUCCUCCUCCAUGCUUCACCAACUCUGCGUCUCGCAAAGAUUUUACCUCCCAUGCUGUUGGUGGUGGUAACGCACCAUCCUCUCUGGCACCAUUCGACAUCCUGUCUCACCUCGCAUGUCUUACAUCAUCUGUGGCGUGAAACACUAUUGCAAAAAAAGUGAGAAGGGGAAAAUUGAACCACUAUCUAACCCUGCACUUAUACGCUACUCUCAAAAACCCACCACCCCAUCCCACGACUUUGGCCCCAACGAUCCUACAUCAGACGCGCCCUGUAGAUCUUCUGCACUUAAACCUCUCACAUCCAAAUAUGUAUCUGCUGCUGCAACCACUACAUCUACAAUGCCUUCAGGAAGUAUUCACACCGCUUGACUUUUUCCAAAUUUUGUUGUGUUAGAGUGGGAUUCAUUGUAAUUUUUUGGUCAACGAUCUACACAAAAUAAUGUAAUGGCUCUGUAAUGUCAAAAUGUAAUGUCAAAAUCCUAACAUUGACAAAUUAAUGAAAAAUUAAACAAUAAUCUAUAUCUUGAUGAGAUAAGAGUCAGAAACACCUUUGGCAGUGAUUAAAGCUGUGAGUCUGUUUGGGUUAAGUUUCCCAAGAGAUUUGCACACCUGACCUGUACAAUAUUUGCCAAUUAUUCUUGAUCAUUGCUCGAUAGCCAUUUUCAAGUCUUCCCAUAGAUUCUCAAGCCGAUUUAAGUCAAAAUUGUAAGCCAAAACUAAGCCACUCAGGAACAUUCAAUGUCGUCUUGAUAAGCAACUCCAGUGUCGAUUUGGCCUUGUGUUUGAAGUUAUCGUCAUGCUGAAAGGUGAAUUCGUCUCCCAGUGUCUGUUGAAAAGCAGACUGAACCAGGUUUUCCUCUAGGAUUUUGCCUGUGCUUAGCUAUAUUCCGUUUCUGUUUAUCCCCCCAAAAAAACUCCCUAGUCCUUGCCGAUGACAAGCAUACCCAUAACAUGAUGUUUGAAGAGUGGUACUGUGUUAUGUUGGAUUUUCCCAAAACAUAACGCUUUGUAUUCAGGACAUAAAGUUCCUUUCUUUGACACAUUGUUUGCCUUGUUGCAAACAGGAUGCAUGUUGUGGAAUAUUUUUAUUCAGCAAAAUGCUUCCUUCUUUUCACUCUGACAAUCAGGUUAGUAUUGUGGAGUAAUUACAAUGUUGUUGAUCCAUCCUCAGUUCUCUCAUAUCACAACCAUUAAACUCUGUAACUGUUUUAUAAUCACCAUCGGCCUUGUGGUGAAAUCCCUGAGCAGUUUCCUUCCUUUCUGACGCCUGUAUCUUUGUAGUGACUGGGAUUUAUACACCAUCCAAAGCCUAAUUAAUAACUUCACCAUGCUCAAAGAGAUGUUGAGCGUCAUUAAAAAAAAUAUUUGUACACAUCUA
This is a long non-coding RNA of Oncorhynchus keta (chum salmon), 5091 nucleotides long. RefSeq lists it as uncharacterized. The record is from RefSeq and is a predicted model, not a curated record. The transcript is spliced from 2 exons. NCBI's taxonomy places the organism in Eukaryota, Metazoa, Chordata, Actinopteri, Salmoniformes, Salmonidae.